GUUUCCAACGAAAUCCUCAAAGCUAUCCAAAUAUCCACUUUCAGAUUCCACAAAAAGAGUGUUUUAAAACUGCUCUGUAAAAAGAAAGGUUCAUCUCUGUUACUUGAAUACACACAUCACAAACAAGUUUCUGAGAAUGCUUCUGUCUAGUUUUUAUGGGAAGAUAUUUCCUUUUUCAGCAUAGGCCUCAAAGCGCUCCAAAUGUCCACUUCCAGGUAGUGCAGAAAGAGUGUCUCAAACCUGGUAUAUAACAGGGAACAUUCUACUCUGUGACUUGAAUGAAAACAUCACAAAGCAGUUUCUGAGAAUGCUUCCGUCUAGAUUAUAUAUGAAGAUAUUCCCGUUUCCAACGAAACCUUCAAAGCUAUCUGAAUAUCC
RNAcentral lists this long non-coding RNA (378 nucleotides) under Homo sapiens (human). RNAcentral describes it as "HSALNT0352194". Lineage: Eukaryota; Metazoa; Chordata; Mammalia; Primates; Hominidae. The record is from RNAcentral.